GGCCAGGAGCGGCCGGUCCGUGCGGCGAGGAAGGAUUCCUCCCGGCCGGCCCCGACGGGGCGCAGCACCGGCGCCGGGAGCUCGGCGCCCCCGAGCCGCCGGGUGGCCGGGAAGCCUCGCGGGGGAGGCGCUCGGAGGCGCGUGCCGCCCGCCCCCGCGUGGGUGAGGGUCGGGCAGCCGGCGCUGCGGAGGUGGGAAGGGGCGGAGGCGGAGAGACGAGCCCCGGGGCUGCGAAAGCCUCGGGCCGGGGCCGGUACCGGGAGCUGCGGCGGGUCGCGCGUCCCCCCGGGCCGGUCCCGGCCGCGCUUCUCCAGCUGCCCGCCUGCUCCCGCCUCCGGCUGCCUUUCGGGCUGUCCGGGUCCCCGCAGCUUUUUGCUAUUCUACCGACACCCCCCCGUACGCCGUUGCCUUCUCCACGUCCUUUCCUCGCCUCUCCCUUGCUGGCUCCCCAGCCGCCUGAAGCAUUUCAUUCCUUCCACGCUGCCGCCUUCCUCGUCGCUUGUGAAAAUCGCAUUGAAAGAGGGCCUUAAUCUUCAAGGACAAUGGCUUGCGAUUAGGAGUCUCCUGAUUUCCUCACGGGGCCUCUCCACGUCUACGUUUCCUGGGAGGCGUUGAUCGCGCUCGCCUAGCUCAGGGACCUCUGUGUGACGGACAACGCGUUGCAGGUGUUUGACCAAUUGCUUAAGUUUUUACACUACCCU
Molecule: long non-coding RNA, 701 nt
Organism: Tyto alba (common barn owl)
Lineage: Eukaryota; Metazoa; Chordata; Aves; Strigiformes; Tytonidae
Exons: 2
Source: RefSeq, a predicted model, not a curated record